Molecule: long non-coding RNA, 1081 nt
Organism: Oncorhynchus tshawytscha (Chinook salmon)
Lineage: Eukaryota; Metazoa; Chordata; Actinopteri; Salmoniformes; Salmonidae
Source: Ensembl
GUGGUGGCUUACUAGCGUUGUUGAGCUGUGGCGGGUUAUUAGUAUUGUUGAGCUGUGGCGGGUUAUUAGUAUUGUUGAGCUGUGGUGGGUUAUUAGUGUUGUUGAGCUGUGGCGGGUUAUUAGUAUUGUUGAGCUGUGGCGGGUUAUUAGUGUUAUUGAGCUGUGGCGGGUUAUUAGUGUUGUUGAGCUGUGGCGGGUUAUUAGCGUUGUUGAGCUGUGGUGUGUUGUUGAGCUGUUAUUAGCAUUGUUGAGCGGUGGUGGGUUAUUAGUGUUAUUGAGCUGUUAUUAGCGUUGUUGAGCUGUGGUGUGUUAUUAGUGGCGUUGAGCUGUUAUUAGUGUUGUUGAGCUAUGGUGGGUUAUUAGUGUUGUUGAGCUGUGGUGGGUCAUUAGUGUUGUUGAGGUGUUAUUAGUGCUGUUGAGGUGUUAUUAGUGUUGUUGAGCUGUGGUGGGUUAUUAGUGUUGUUGAGCUGUUAUUAGUGUUGUUGAGCUGUGGUGGGUCAUUAGUGUUGUUGAGCUGUGUGUUGAGCUGUGGUGGGUCAUUAGUGUUGUUGAGCUGCGGUGGGUCAUUAGUGUUGUUGAGCUGUGGUGGGUCAUUAGUGUUGUUGAGCUGUGGUGGGUCAUUAGUGUUGUUGAGCUGUGGUGGGUCAUUAGUGUUGUUGAGCUGUGGUGGGUUAUUAGUAUUGUUGAGCUGUGGCGGGUUAUUAGUAUUGUUGAGCUGUGGCGGGUUAUUAGUGUUGUUGAGCUGUGGUGGGUUAUUAGUGUUGUUGAGCUGUGGUGGGUCAUUAGUGUUGUUGAGCUGUGGUGGGUCAUUAGUGUUGUUCAGCUGUGGUGUGUUAUUAGUGUUGUUGAGCUGUGGUGGGUCAUUAGUGUUGUUGAGCUGUGGUGGGUUAUUAGUGUUGUUGAGCUGUGGUGUGUUAUUAGUGUUGUUGAGGUGUUAUUAGUGUUGUUGAGCUGUGGUGGGUCAUUAGUGUUGUUGAGCUGUGUGUUGAGCUGUGGUGGGUCAUUAGUGUUGUUGAGCUGCGGUGGGUCAUUAGUGUUGUUGAGCUGUGGUGGGUAAUUAGUGUUGUUGAGCUGUGGUGGG